UAGGGAAUCUUCGGCAAUGGGGGGAACCCUGACCGAGCAACGCCGCGUGAGUGAAGAAGGUUUUCGGAUCGUAAAGCUCUGUUGUUAAGGAAGAACGAGUGUGAGAAUGGAAAGUUCAUACUGUGACGGUACUUAACCAGAAAGGGACGGCUAACUACGUGCCAGCAGCCGCGGUAAUACGUAGGUCCCGAGCGUUGUCCGGAUUUAUUGGGCGUAAAGCGAGCGCAGGCGGUUAGAUAAGUCUGAAGUUAAAGGCAGUGGCUCAACCAUUGUAGGCUUUGGAAACUGUUUAACUUGAGUGCGGGAGGGGAGAGUGGAAUUCCAUGUGUAGCGGUGAAAUGCGUAGAUAUAUGGAGGAACACCGGUGGCAAAAGCGGCUCUCUGGUCUGUAACUGACGCUGAGGCUCGAAAGCGUGGGGAGCGAACGGG
This 429-nucleotide ribosomal RNA is filed under the name Bacteroidota bacterium. RNAcentral describes it as "Bacteroidetes bacterium partial 16S ribosomal RNA". It matches the Rfam family "Bacterial small subunit ribosomal RNA", at positions 355 to 776 of the family's 1533-position model. The record is from RNAcentral. Lineage: Bacteria; Pseudomonadati; Bacteroidota.